AGGGGAAUAUUGGACAAUGGGCGCAAGCCUGAUCCAGCCAUGCCGCGUGAGUGAUGAAGGCCCUAGGGUUGUAAAGCUCUUUCACCGGUGAAGAUAAUGACGGUAACCGGAGAAGAAGCCCCGGCUAACUUCGUGCCAGCAGCCGCGGUAAUACGAAGGGGGCUAGCGUUGUUCGGAUUUACUGGGCGUAAAGCGCACGUAGGCGGACUUUUAAGUCAGGGGUGAAAUCCCGGGGCUCAACCCCGGAACUGCCUUUGAUACUGGAAGUCGUGAGUAUGGUAGAGGUGAGUGGAAUUCCGGGUGUAGAGGUGAAAUUCGUAGAUAUUCGGAGGAACACCAGUGGCGAAGGCGGCUCACUGGACCAUUACUGACGCUGAGGUGCGAAAGCGGGGGGAGCAAACAGG
This 404-nucleotide ribosomal RNA is filed under the name Actinomycetes bacterium. Its description in RNAcentral is "Actinobacteria bacterium partial 16S ribosomal RNA". It matches the Rfam family "Bacterial small subunit ribosomal RNA", at positions 355 to 776 of the family's 1533-position model. The record is from RNAcentral. Lineage: Bacteria; Bacillati; Actinomycetota; Actinomycetes.